ACAAACGUUUUCCUCCAAUUCCCAAAUCAAAAAAAAAAAACUAGGGUUCUGCUCAGCUGCUGCACCUCUGCCUGUGCGAUUGAUUGACAAUCACUGGUACCACAAUCUGUCGGACGCCCUCCAACUCUCCACUGUGUAUCAGUGGAUACCUGGACCUUUGGUGUUGUGAAUUGGCUUGGUGGUAUUUUGAUGAGUGUUCCUUUGUGCUGGCCUCUUUUCCUUAUUGAACGAGACUGUUUUCCACUCUUCUUCUUGUUUUUCCAACAUUGAGUUAGUUGCCUGUGCUCCAGUUCUUUCUUUAAUGGUUUUGGCAUCUAAUUUGAUAAAGGAGCAUUUGUUUUUUGUGUGUCCCAACCUACCACAAUUUGUACAUAGAAAAUUAUCUCCUUCGUAAUGAAUGUGUUUUUUCCC
Long non-coding RNA from Nicotiana tabacum (common tobacco), 411 nucleotides. RefSeq lists it as uncharacterized. The record is from RefSeq and is a predicted model, not a curated record. NCBI's taxonomy places the organism in Eukaryota, Viridiplantae, Streptophyta, Magnoliopsida, Solanales, Solanaceae.